This is a non-coding RNA of Picea glauca (white spruce), 72 nucleotides long. Lineage: Eukaryota; Viridiplantae; Streptophyta; Pinopsida; Pinales; Pinaceae. The record is from Rfam.
GAAUCCGUGGCGUAAUGGUAUCGCGUCUGACUCUAGAUUAAAGGGUUGCGUGCUCGAUUCACAUCGGGUUCA